GAACGAGAAAGUGGAGCAAUCCAUGAGUAAAGUGGCGACCGGGUGAGUAACACGUGACUGACCUACCUCCGAGUGGGGAAUAACUCCGGGAAACCGGGGCUAAUACCGCAUAACAUCGCAAGAUCAAAGCAGCAAUGCGCUUGGAGAGGGGGUCGCGGCUGAUUAGCUAGUUGGCGGGGUAACGGCCCACCAAGGCUAUGAUCGGUAUCCGGCCUGAGAGGGCGCACGGACACACUGGAACUGAAACACGGUCCAGACUCCUACGGGAGGCAGCAGUGGGGAAUUUUGCGCAAUGGGGGAAACCCUGACGCAGCAACGCCGCGUGGAGGAUGAAGUCCCUUGGGACGUAAACUCCUUUCGACUGGGAAGAUAAUGACGGUACCAGUGGAAGAAGCCCCGGCUAACUUCGUG
Molecule: ribosomal RNA, 411 nt
Filed under: uncultured bacterium
Lineage: Bacteria
Description: bacterial SSU rRNA
Rfam family: Bacterial small subunit ribosomal RNA
Source: RNAcentral